Molecule: RNA transcript, 2077 nt
Organism: Drosophila santomea
Lineage: Eukaryota; Metazoa; Arthropoda; Insecta; Diptera; Drosophilidae
Gene name: zinc finger and SCAN domain-containing protein 29
Exons: 5
Source: RefSeq, a predicted model, not a curated record
UCUAAUAUCGAUGACAGUCUUGUUAUUGUUAUGAUUUGAUUAAGCAAAAAUAUAUUUAUUACUUGCAUUGCGAAUUUUGAGCAGUAACCUUUGAAAAUGAGCCAAUUCUCGCUCUUCAAUGGCAACGAUGAGCACGACCACGAAACAGAGCAGAAAUACGCACACCUUAUGAAUCUGGGAAAUGCGAAUCACUCGGUGUCGGAAAACAGUUCUGGAAAAGCCAGUCGCUGCAAGUGGACCGCCGCAGAGGUGGAGACCUUUGUGGGAAUCAUCCACCAACUGAAACUGCAAGCUGCACUGCGAAGGGCGAGGAGCAAUGCAAAGGUGUUUCGGAUGGUGUCCAGGGAAAUGGCCAGACGCCACUGCCCCAAGAGUCCAAAGCAUCUGAGAGCGAAGUUCCAUCAGAUGCGGCGUCAGUAUGCAAGGGCGCGGAAUGGCGGCGAGCCGUUCGAGCAUUUUGAGGCGGUCCACGACCUGAUGCAGGGAGAAGAUGUAUCUGAUCUGGAUGAUGAGGUGCUAGAGAGUGACACCGAUGCGGAGGCCGACGAUGACCAGUCCGGUAUGAUCUCGGAAACCGAAGGAGACGAUGCUUUGGAUGCCUCUGGCUCUUCCAUUAACGUCGUUGCCCGCUGCAAGUGGGCAGAGGGCGAAGUGGACCUCCUCCUCGAACUGAUCCACACUCUUGGUCUUCGGGCUGCUUUGCUGCAAAAGCGCAAUGCCAAGGUCUUCAAGCUGCUGGCCAAAGAGAUGGGAAAACGCAACUGCCACAAAGGUGCGGAGAAGCUGCGCAUCAAGUUCCAGCAGCUGCGGCGAUUGUACAACAAGGCCAAGAACGGUACGGGGGAAACGUUCGAACACUUUGAAGCGAUGCGACUGGUCCUGGAUCCCACCGAUGAGGAGGCGGCCGCAGAGGCUGAAGCGGAAGCCCAUCUUAGCAGCGCAAGCGAUAGUGAUUUUAACGACAGCGAUGAGGACGACGGUGAUGCAUCACAGAGAAGCGGAGCGCACUUUUGGACAGACGAAGAGGUCGAUUCGUUUCUACUCAUUAUUCGGGACAAUGGUUUCUUCCGCGCCUUGGAUGGUUCCCGGAAGCGCAACUUCCAGACGCUGGUGCACAUUUCCAACAUCUUGGCUAAGCAGGCCAUCAAACGCACUCCCCACCAGCUGCGCAAUAAGCUGAGACUCCUCUGCAAGCGUCACCGAGAGGCCAAGGAGCACGGGCUAGACAAUGUACGCAUUCUGCCUCGCCACUUUGAGCUCUUCGAUGAUCUGAUUCAGGCACCGCGGGAAAACAAGAAAAGUGCUAUUCCCAGGCCCAUUCGUAGCAGCCAACCGUCCUUUCCCAAGCCUCCAGGCAAAACAAGCGUUCCGCUGGCGAGUGACAGCGAAGACUCCAGCUCCACCUGCGAUCUCCUAAGAGCGGCGGCCGAUAGCGAGGACUACGAGGACGCCAUACAGAUGGAGGCUGAACCUACGCCCAUUGAAGCACUCACUGCCAUUAUGGAAGGUCAAAAGCAGUUGCUUGCGCAGAUCAAAACCACCAACGAGAGCUUCCUGCGGCAGCACCGCGAGCAGCAGCAUCAAUUUCUGGAACAAGUAUCCGACCUAAUGCGUCGAGAUCGAGAGGAGACCCUACGCAGGAUCAGUGAAAUGCUGCAACCGAAGUAGAAGAAAUAGCCAGCUCAAGCUUCUAAAACUUUUAUUGAAUUGAAUUCGAAGUUAUUGCAAAAAGUUGUCAUUAUUUAUAUAUAUUAUAUUUGAUGGACGAGAUGGAGGGGGUAGGGGAGGAAGCUGGGCUGAGAUUUCGCGAUGGUCGAUGAGCGGAUCGAUGCGAUGCGAUGGCCCCCGUUGCUGGGAUUGGAUGUGGCUUGUGGCUGCUGUGACGACGAUGCUGCUGCUGUGGGAAAGAGACGCGACUCCCAGUGGCCAGAGGACCACUAACACCAGAUAUACUCAAAUGGUAUAUAGUUCAUAUAUCGGAGGAGUAUAUCAUUCUGGCCGCACCGUUACAGUUCGAAAUUCACGUUGUUCGUUUAUUUAGAAUUCUCAAAUAUACAACAAAAGCUUACACUUUCAA